This is a long non-coding RNA of Macaca mulatta (Rhesus monkey), 6425 nucleotides long. The record is from Ensembl. NCBI's taxonomy places the organism in Eukaryota, Metazoa, Chordata, Mammalia, Primates, Cercopithecidae.
UUUUUUUUUAGCUUUAUUGAAGUACUGCAAAAUAUACAAAGAGAAAAUGGCAAUUAUCUUAAACAUACAGUUUGAUGAAUUUUUACAAACUACACACAUGUAACAGCCAGCAUCCAGAUCAAUGGUCCUGUGCACCAAGUGGCCAGCUUUCUUUAUGAGGGAGUGUAGGCACACUUGUAGUCCUAGCUACUCAGGAAUCUGAGGCAGAGGAUGCUUGAGCCCAGGAGCUGGAGGCUGCACUGAGCCAAGUUUAUGCCACUGCACUCCAGCCUGGGUGAAGUGAGGUCCUGAAUCAAAUAAAAACAAUAAUAAUUUACUACUCCAAAACCCCUCUGAGAGUUAUUCCUCACUGUAGCAUUUUAUAAGCUGUUGUCUUUCAUUUUCACUCCUACAUUUCCUACUUUGAUUUCUCUCCAGAGUGUAGAAGUCCUGCAGUAGAUAUAAUAGGGAGUAGUACAUAUAAUGACAACAUUAAACAUGAUUGAUAUGGUUUGUCUGUGUCCCCACCCAAAUCUCAUCUUGAAUUUAACUUCCACAAUUUCCAUGUGUUAUGAGAGGAGCCCAGUAGAAGGUAAAUGAAUCAUGGGGGCAGGUCUUUCCUGCACUGUUCUCGUGAUAAUGAAUGAGUCUCAUGAGAUCUGAUGGUUUAAAAACGGGAGUUUCCCUGGACAAGCUUUCUUUUUCCCUGCCACCAUCCACAUAAGAUGUGACUUGCUCCUCCUUGCCUUCUGCCAUGAUCGUGAGGCCUCCCCAGCCAUGUGGAACUGUAAGUCUAUUAAAUCUCUUUCCCAUAUAAAUUACCCAGUCUCAGGUAUGUCUUUAUCAGCAGUGUGAAAAUGAACUAAUACAGUAAACUGGUACCAGUAGAGUGGGGUACUGCUGAAGAGAUACCCAAAAAUGUGGAAUCAACUUUGGAACUGAGUAACAGGCAGAGGUUGGAACAGUUUGGAGGACUCAGAAGAAGAUAGGAAAAUGUGGGAAAGCUUGGAACUCCCUAGAUACUUGUUGAAUGCCUUUGACUAAAAUGCUGAUAAUGAUAUGGACAAUGAAAUCCAGGCUGAGGUGGUCUCAGAUGGAGAUGAGGAACUUGUUGGGAACUACAGCAAUGGUGACUCUUGUUAUGUUUUAGUCAAGAGGCUGGCAGUUUUUCACCCCUGCCCUAGAUAUCUGUGGAACUUUGAACCUGACAGAGAUGAUUUAGAGUAUCUGGCAGAAGAAAUUUCUAAGCAGCAAAGCAUUCAAGAGGUAACUUGGAUGCUGUUAAAGGCAUUCAGUUUCAUAAGGGAAGCAAAGCAUAAAAGUUCAGAAAAUUUGCAGCCUGGCAAUGUGAUAGAAAAGAAAAUCCCAUUUUCUUAGGAGAAAUUCAAUCUGGCUGCAGAAAUGUGCAUAAAUAACAAGGAGCCAAAUGUUAAUCCCCAAGACAAUGGGGAAAAUGUCUCCAGGGCAUGUCAAAGGUCUUCGCAGCAGCCCCUCCUAUCACAGGCCUGGAGACCUAGAAGGAAAAAAUGGUUUUGUGGGCCAGGCCCAGGGUCCCCAUGCUGUAUGCAGUCUGGGGACUUGGUGCCCUGUGUCCCAGCUGCUCCUUUUAGCCAUGACUAAAAGGGGCCAAUAUACAGCUUGGGCCAUGGCUUCAGAGGGUGCAAGCCCCAAGCCUUGGCAGCUUCCACAUGGUGUUGAGCCUACAGGUGCACAAAAGUCAAGAAUUGAGGUUUGAGAACCUCUGCCUAGAUUUCAGAGGAUGUAUGGAAAUGCCUGGAUAUCCAGGCAGAAGUUUGCUGCAGGGCCAGGGCUAUCAAGGCAAUGCAGAAAGGAAAUGUGGGGUCAGAUCCCCCACAUAGAGUCCCUACUGGGGCACUGCCUAGUGGAACUGUGAGAAGAGGGCCACCAUCCUCCAGAUCCCAGAAUAGUAGAUCCACCAACAGCUUGCACCACGUGCCUGGAAAAGCUACAGACACUCAACACCAGCCUGUGAAAGCAGCCAAGUGGGAGGCUGUGCCAUGCAGAGCCACAGGGGUGGAGCUGCCCAAGACAUGGGAACCCACGUCUUUCAUCAGCAUGACCCGGAUGCAAGACAUGGAGUCAAAGGACAUAAUUUUGGAGCUUUAAUAUUUUACUGCCCUGCUGGAUUUUGGGCUUGCAUGGGGCCUGUAGACCCUUUGUUUUGGCCAAUUUCUCCUACUUGGAAUGGUUGUAUUUACCCAAUGCCUGUAACCCCAUUGCAUCUAGGAACUAACUUGCUUUUGAUUUUACAGGCUCAUAGGCAGAAGGGACUUGCCUUGUUUCGGAUGACACUUUAAACUGGGGACUUCUGAGUUAAUGCUGAAAUGAGUUAAGACUUUGGGGGACUGUUGGGAAGGCAUGAUCGGUUUGAAAUGUGAGGACAUGAGAUUUGGGUGGGGCAGAAUGAUAUGGGUUGGCUGUGUCCCCACCCAAAUCUCAUCUUGAAUUAUAACUCUCACAAUUCCACACAGGGUAGAAGGAACCCAAUGGGAGGUGGCUGAAUUAUUGCAGCAGGUCUUUCCUGCACUGUUCUCAUGAUACUGAAUGAGUCUCACAAGAUCUGAUGGUUUUAAAAAUAAGAGUUUCCCUGCACAAGCUCUCUUUUUGCCUGCCACCAUCAACGUUCUGCCUCCCCAGAACCUCUUUCCUGUAUAAAUUAAACCUCUUUCCUGUAUAAAUUAAACCUCUUUCCUGUAUAAAUGACCCAGUUUCAGGUAUAUCUUUCUCAGCAUCAUGAAAACAAACUAUUACAGUGAUAAAGAAGAGCAGUGGAGAGAUUAUCAGCCCCACUCACCGAAGGUUGACAGGACUGCCUUAACAAUAUGUACAGGUUACUGUGCCCAAGCUUUAUUUCUGAAAAGACAAUCAAAUCUAACAAGAAAGUUUAUAAGAGUUAAAAAAAAAAAAAAAAAAAAAAACUCACCAUCCUAACAUUAAUUUUUAGUUUUAUAUGUCUCCUCCCAUUGGUAUAGGGAUUUUUACCUAGCUCUAAUUACAGUCAUGCAUCACUUAAUGAUGGGGCUAUGUUCUGAGAAAUGCGUCAUUAGGCAAUUUCAUCAUUGUGUGAACAUCGGCUCAAGCCUGUAAUCCCAGCCCUUUGGAAGGCCAAGAUGGGAGGACUGCUUGAGCCCAGGAGUUCGAGACCAGCCUGGGCAACAUAGGUUAGGAAGACCCUGUCUCUACCAAAAAUAAAACAAUUGCCAGGUAUGGUAGCAUGUGCCUGUAGUCCCAGCUACUCAGGAGGCUGAAGUGGGAGGAUUGCUUGAGCCCAGGAGCUUGAGGCUGCAGUGAGCUAUGAUCACACCACUGCACUCCAGCCUGGGUGACAGAGCAAGGCCCUGUCUCAAAAAGAAAAAAGAAAAAAAAAAGGACAAAAAAUGGUACACUCAUAUAGGGCAUUUACCAUGAAUAUAGCUUGUAGGACUGGAAGUUGCUGUGGGUGAGCCAGUGAGUGAGUGGUGAAUGAAUGUACUGUAGACUUUAUAAACACUGUAUAUUUAGGCUACACUAAACUCAUGUGUAAAAAUUUAUUUCGUCAAUAACAAAUUAACCUUACCUUACUAUAACUUUUUUACUUUAUAAACUUUAAAGUUGUUUUAAUGUUUUGACUCUUUUGUAAUCUUAGUUUAAAACAUAAACACAUUGUAUAGCUAUACAAAAUACUGUAUUUUCUUUUUUAUAUUCUUAUUCCAUAAACUUUUUUAUAUUUCUAAAAGGUUUUUUUCUUUUGAAACUUUUUAAAAAUUAAAAACAAAGACAUAAACGCACACAUUAGCCUAGAGCUUCACAGGGUCAGGAUCCUCAACACGUCACUAUGCGAUAGGAAUUUUUCAGCUCCAUUAUCAUCUUAUGGGACCACUGUAGUAUACAUAGUAAUGUUGUAUCACAUGACUGUAUAACUAGAGACAUCUGGUUCUUUUACUGCCAGCUGUGGACAAACAAGAAAUGUUGCUGUUAUGGCCGCAGGAAGGCAACCAAAUGUUUCUCUAAUACUUUGUACAACGUAGUCCUCAUGCCCACUAUAUCUAACGGGUCACAAAUAUUCAUUAACAAAAUAUAGUCAAACCUUUAGGAGUUCACAAUCUGGUGAGAGAGAUAGGCAUCAUAGUGCACAGCUGUUUUUCCAAAUGUCCAUUGCUAAUCUGUUCAUCUUAUUCUUCUGUCAAAGCAGUAAGGACAGAAGAGAAGAUGUGAGUCAUCCCAGAGUCACAGCCCUCUGAAAAUCCCUGAAAUCCCUUCUUUCCUGUCCCUCAGAUCACUGUAAGGACUUCAAGGUUCUCUCUAACCCUUACAGCUGUCUGAAAACAUUUUUUCCGAUAUGACAGCCUCCACCUUCUCUCUAAGGAAAGUAAAUCCUUUCUUAGUCAAGUUCUCCUUUUCCACACUCCGGUCUUUCCCUGGAAUAUCUCCCCUAUCCUUCCUCCCUUCUUCCUUUCCCAUUAUACUUCUCACUGACCCUCAGGAAAAUAGCUUAAAAAUUUCCCCUCUGGAAUGGGGCCCCGUCCACAGAGCACCUACCUUCCGUAUAAGUCAGAUGCUAAACUCAAUUACCUACGAAGGCCAGGCAGAACAGUGUUCUUCUGACUUUGUUUGCACAUUAAGUUCACGGAACAUUCUCUACUUUCACAAAGAAACAUGCUUGUUUUUUUCUUGAAACAUACAGGCCUUAGUUAAGCUUUCAUUUGCACAGUUUUGAUAGAUAGGGAUGCUUUUUUCCUCCCAAUUUGUUUUUUGUUUUUUGUUUUUUGUUUUUUCUCCCAAUUCCACUCUAACGUCAGUAAUUGGCAGAGGACCUUCCGAGUAACAGAGAACAUAUGCUCUCUAAGAGGGCUGCUCAGCAACCACGGUUUGCCAAGUGGAACAUGGGCCUAGUGUUGCUGUGUUGCUAGAUCUUCUGACCUUUCAGGAGACAAAAAUCCAGAUAUUUUUAUGAAAAAUCAUGUUUUCAAAAUGCUGACAGUUAAUUCAAAAGAAUUUAACAUGCUCCAAAGUCUAAAGCAAACAAGUUCACAGAGUGAAGGAGCAUUGCCAGUGUACAGCUUCUGGCGCUGUUAAGUUUUAAUGAGUAUUUUAUUAUCUUUGCUUAAUUUACAACAGACAAUUAUAUAAUUAUGCCUUUGACAGACAUCAAUAAUCUGUUUCUGUAUUCGUUCUCCAUAUUUAUAGAGUAUUGUGUUUUCUAGCUUAUUUCCACAACACAUUGUUAAUAGUGCCUUAGGCCAAACUACUCUUCUUUCCCAAUUAUUCUCUUUCUCCCCUACAAAGGGAGUUAAAACAAGGAGCUGUUAAAGCUCGGAGCCAAAUAAGAGAUUAAAUUACAUUAGUUUUAAAUGGUUUUCUGGAGUGGCUGGAAAUUUUUACCAGUAAUCUUACUGCAAUUCCUGGGUCAGUGAAGAACUGGGUAAAUAUGAUUACCGUGCACACACAAACACAUCGCUGUGAUCAAAACGCACAUCACAGUAUGUGAGUCACUACUCCCAACACUGCCAUGUCUCUGCCUUAGUAAGCCUGCCAGCCCCAUCCAGAGGAUUUUUCUCAUCUCUGAACUCCAAUCACUUCCACCUUCCCCCAUCAAAAUUUACCCUAUAUUUUAUUAUAAUUGCAUAUAAAUAUGCCUUCCUUGUAAGAGGAGGACCUGUGUCUCUCCAUUGUACAGCCUGGCACAGUGUCCGGCACACAGUAGGCAAAGCAAGAGUCAUUGCACGAACCAGUAUCAUCAUCCAAACAAUAGCUACCAUUUCCAGAGCACCUACCGUGAGCUGACUAGUUUACCUGCAUUAUCCUGGUGGCUUUCCCAGACCAGACCACCCAAAACAAAGCAGCCCCCCAGUCACCCUCUAAGCACGUAACCCUAUUUUAGUUCUCGGAAUAGGACUGAUUGCUUUCUAACAUAUUUUGGUCAUUUCGGUGUGCUUAUUGUCUGUCACCGGUUUCCCUUCACAAGAAGGAAAGCUCCAAGAGGACAGGCAUUUUAUCUACCUUGUACUUGGCUCAUAGCAAAUAAAUGAAUCUAAGCCGCCCACCUCCCUGGGCGACAGAGUUGACCUGCACACAGUAGGUCUCAAUGAGUAUGUUUUAAAUUUUAUAUUUAGAUUUCAAGAUAAUUGUGUUGAAUAUUUUAUGGUUCAUAACAAACAGAAAGGGGAGGGCAGAAUAAAAAUAAAUAAAAGUUUAGUUACAUUACCCUAGCACUGACGUUGGUACGGGAAUUUUUGCUGCAAUAAGAAAACCACUUCCUCUGACAUAAGGUCACCCACACUUCUGGGUCUUACCACAUCCUCUUAGACAGCUCAUCGUGGCUGGGCUGGCUGGGACAGUCAGGACUCCAGACGCUCACACUAAAAGAGGGAUGGGAGUCGAGGAGUCACUCCACUCCUCUGUAGGGAGCUGGCCGCGAGUGGGUGCGCAGGAGCGUGCGCGCGGAU